GUCUCAAACAAAAGAGAAAUCAGCAAAUGCUGGUAAAGAUGAGGUGAAAUGGGAAGACUCAUCCAUUGGUGGGAAUGUAAACCGGUACAGCCACUUUGGAAAUCAAAACAAGCUGGGUAACUAAAAACAGAACUGCCACAUGAACCAGCUCUAUUCCUUUAGGCAUAUGCUCAAAGACUCCCAAUUGUAGUACAGAUACUUGCUCAUCCAUGUUUAUUGAUACUUUAUUCACAGCAGUAAAGAAAUAGAAUCAGACUAACUGUUCAUCAGUAGAUGAAUGGAUAAUGAAAUGUGGAAUGUACACACAAUACAUUUUAUUUAGUCACAAAGAAAAAAAUUCAGGAAUAUCGGUGGAAAUUGGAAAGUAUUAUAUGAUGGAAGGCAAAGGUUCAGAAAGGCAAAUACUGUACAUCCUCUCCCAUAUGCAGAUCCUAACAUCUAACUGUAAAAUAUGUGUAUUGAGGCUGGGCGGUGUUGGCAUAUACCUUUGAUCCCAGCACUCAGGAGGCAGAAGCAGAUAAGUUCGAGGCCAGCCUGGUCUACUGAUGGAGUUCCAGGACAGCCUCCAAAGCAAUACAGAGAAACCCUGUCUCAAAAAAAAAAAAAAAAAAAAGUAUAUUGAGGGCUGGAAAGAUGUCUCAGUGGUUCUUCCAGAGGACUCAGGUAGUGGCACAACACUCUGUAACUCUAGUUCCAGAGGACUCCAAUGCUGUCUUCUGGCCUACAUGGGUACUGUACACACACAGACAUACAUGCAGGCAAAACAACAAUACAAAUAAAAAACCAACUCUCAAAAAUAUAUAUUUUUUAAAUAUCUGUGUAUCUAGGUGGAAGUAAAUGUGGUAAAGGCCAGGGAUGUUGAAAGGGGCCCAUUUUUAGGGAAAAGGGGUUUACAAUAGGACAAACUGGAAGAAGGAUCAGAGGUUGCCAGUGAGUACAGUAGGGAAAGACCUUCAGGGCAGGUAAAUAGAUGAUAGAGCAAGGGCAGAAGUCUCAACCAAAAUGAAAUAUGUAUGAAAGUCCUGUAUGGGAACCUAUUAUUUUGUAAUUUAAAAGUUAAAAUAAAGACUGAAGGAAUAGAUUAGUUCUUACCAGCAUUUGUUGCUUUAAAGAGGCCCUGGGUUAGGUUCCUAGCAUCCACAUGGUGGCUCACAGCCAUCUGUAACUCCAGUACCAGGGAAUCCAUCAGGCCACAUUGGGCACCAAGCAUGCAUACCGAGGACUCAUCGGCACACCAAUGUACUUGAAAGGAGGUUUGGGGAUUCAAUCAGUUCCGAAGUCCUGGGUUCAGUUUAGUCCCACACUAAGAGAAAAAUAAAAAUUAAGAAGCAAAAAUGCAUAAUGUUUUCCCCCAUAAGCAGAACACAGGAAUAUCCACAGCUACUACCAAGUAUGAAUCAUU
Molecule: long non-coding RNA, 1402 nt
Filed under: Cricetulus griseus (Chinese hamster)
Lineage: Eukaryota; Metazoa; Chordata; Mammalia; Rodentia; Cricetidae
Description: lncRNA (ENSCGRG00015042642.1)
Source: RNAcentral